Molecule: ribosomal RNA, 760 nt
Filed under: uncultured Actinomyces sp.
Lineage: Bacteria; Bacillati; Actinomycetota; Actinomycetes; Actinomycetales; Actinomycetaceae
Description: bacterial SSU rRNA
Rfam family: Bacterial small subunit ribosomal RNA
Source: RNAcentral
AUUGAACGCUGGCGGCAUGCUUUACACAUGCAAGUCGAACGGCAGCGGGGUAGUGCUUGCACUACUGUCCGGCGAGUGGCGAACGGGUGAGUAAUAUAUCGGAACGUACCGAGUAAUGGGGGAUAACCAAUCGAAAGAUUGGCUAAUACCGCAUACGUCCUGAGGGAGAAAGCGGGGGAUCGCAAGACCUCGCGUUAUUCGAGCGGCCGAUAACUGAUUAGCUAGUUGGUGGGGUAAAGGCCUACCAAGGCGACGAUCAGUAGCGGGUCUGAGAGGACGAUCCGCCACACUGGGACUGAGACACGGCCCAGACUCCUACGGGAGGCAGCAGUGGGGAAUAUUGCGCAAUGGGGGGAACCUUGACGCAGCCAUGCCGCGUGAAUGAAGAAGGCCUUCGGGUUGUAAAGUUCUUUCGGUAUUGAGGAAGGUUGAUGUGUUAAUAGUACAUCAAAUUGACGUUAAAUACAGAAGAAGCACCGGCUAACUCCGUGCCAGCAGCCGCGGUAAUACGGAGGGUGCGAGCGUUAAUCGGAAUAACUGGGCGUAAAGGGCACGCAGGCGGUUAUUUAAGUGAGGUGUGAAAGCCCCGGGCUUAACCUGGGAAUUGCAUUUCAGACUGGGUAACUAGAGUACUUUAGGGAGGGGUAGAAUUCCACGUGUAGCGGUGAAAUGCGUAGAGAUGUGGAGGAAUACCGAAGGCGAAGGCAGCCCCUUGGGAAUGUACUGACGCUCAUGUGCGAAAGCGUGGGGAGCAAACAGG